AGAGUUUGAUCCUGGCUCAGAGCGAACGCUGGCGGCAGGCUUAACACAUGCAAGUCGAGCGGGCGUAGCAAUACGUCAGCGGCAGACGGGUGAGUAACGCGUGGGAACGUACCUUUUGGUUCGGAACAACACAGGGAAACUUGUGCUAAUACCGGGUAAGCCCUUACGGGGAAAGAUUUAUCGCCGAAAGAUCGGCCCGCGUCUGAUUAGCUAGUUGGUGAGGUAAUGGCUCACCAAGGCGACGAUCAGUAGCUGGUCUGAGAGGAUGAUCAGCCACAUUGGGACUGAGACACGGCCCAAACUCCUACGGGAGGCAGCAGUGGGAAUAUUGGACAAUGGGCGCAAGCCUGAUCCAGCCAUGCCGCGUGAGUGAUGAAGGCCCUAGGGUUGUAAAGCUCUUUUGUGCGGGAAGAUAAUGACGGUACCGCAAGAAUAAGCCCCGGCUAACUUCGUGCCAGCAGCCGCGGUAAUACGAAGGGGGCUAGCGUUGCUCGGAAUCACUGGGCGUAAAGGGUGCGUAGGCGGGUCUUUAAGUCAGAGGUGAAAUCCUGGAGCUCAACUCCAGAACUGCCUUUGAUACUGAAGAUCUUGAGUUCGGGAGAGGUGAGUGGAACUGCGAGUGUAGAGGUGAAAUUCGUAGAUAUUCGCAAGAACACCAGUGGCGAAGGCGGCCCACUGGCCCGAUACUGACGCUGAGGCACGAAAGCGUGGGGAGCAAACAGGAUUAGGUACCCUGGUAGUCCACGCCGUAAACGAUGAAUGCCAGCCGUUAGUGGGUUUACUCACUAGUGGCGCAGCUA
This 800-nucleotide ribosomal RNA is filed under the name uncultured bacterium. RNAcentral describes it as "bacterial SSU rRNA". It matches the Rfam family "Bacterial small subunit ribosomal RNA", at positions 8 to 854 of the family's 1533-position model. The record is from RNAcentral.